CCUACGGGGGGCUGCAGUGGGGAAUAUUGGACAAUGGGCGAAAGCCUGAUCCAGCCAUGCCGCGUGAGUGAUGAAGGCCUUAGGGUUGUAAAGCUCUUUCAGCGGGGAAGAUAAUGACGGUACCCGCAGAAGAAGCCCCGGCUAACUUCGUGCCAGCAGCCGCGGUAAUACGAAGGGGGCUAGCGUUGUUCGGAAUCACUGGGCGUAAAGCGCGUGUAGGCGGAUCGUUAAGUCGGGGGUGAAAUCCUGAGGCUCAACCUCAGAACUGCCUUCGAUACUGGCGAUCUUAGAGUCCGGGAGAGGUGAGUGGAACUCCUAGUGUAGAGGUGAAAUUCGUAGAUAUUAGGAAGAACACCAGUGGCGAAGGCGGCUCACUGGCCCGGUACUGACGCUGAUAUGCGAAAGCGUGGGGAGCAAACAGGAUUAGAUACCCCUGUAGUC
RNAcentral lists this ribosomal RNA (441 nucleotides) under uncultured Bradyrhizobiaceae bacterium. RNAcentral describes it as "bacterial SSU rRNA". It matches the Rfam family "Bacterial small subunit ribosomal RNA", at positions 338 to 795 of the family's 1533-position model. The record is from RNAcentral. Lineage: Bacteria; Pseudomonadati; Pseudomonadota; Alphaproteobacteria; Hyphomicrobiales; Nitrobacteraceae.